Molecule: ribosomal RNA, 253 nt
Filed under: uncultured bacterium
Lineage: Bacteria
Description: partial 16S ribosomal RNA
Rfam family: Bacterial small subunit ribosomal RNA
Source: RNAcentral
UACGUAGGGUGCAAGCGUUGUCCGGAAUUAUUGGGCGUAAAGAGCUCGUAGGCGGUUUGUCGCGUCUGCUGUGAAAUCCGGAGGCUCAACCUCCGGCCUGCAGUGGGUACGGGCAGACUAGAGUGCGGUAGGGGAGAUUGGAAUUCCUGGUGUAGCGGUGGAAUGCGCAGAUAUCAGGAGGAACACCAAUUGCGAAGGCAGCUCACUACACGAAUAUUGACACUGAGGCACGAAAGCGUGGGGAUCAAACAGG